Molecule: ribosomal RNA, 2881 nt
Filed under: bioreactor metagenome
Description: bacterial LSU rRNA
Rfam family: Bacterial large subunit ribosomal RNA
Source: RNAcentral
AGAAGGGCGUAUGGCGGAUGCCUAGGCUCUCACAGGCGAAGAAGGACGUGAUAAGCUGCGAUAAGCUGCGGGUAGGUGCAAAUGACCUAUGAUCCGCGGAUUUCCGAAUGGGACAACCCACCUACUUGAAGAGUAGGUAUCCAUUAUAUGAUGGAGGCGAACGCGGGGAACUGAAACAUCUUAGUACCCGUAGGAAGAGAAAAUAAAGAAUGAUUCCCCCAGUAGUGGCGAGCGACCGGGGAAGAGCCCAAACCAGCGAGGUUCCGGCCUCGCUGGGGUAGUAGGACCACGUUGUGGCAAGACAUCUCGUGAGCGGAAUCCUCUGGAAAGUGGGACCGCAGACGGUGACAGUCCGGUAUGCGAAGCGAGACGAAGCCUAGUGGUAUCCUGAGUAGCGCGGGUCACGAGAAAUCCUGCGUGAAUCCGCCGGGACCAUCCGGCAAGGCUAAAUACUAGUGAGAGACCGAUAGUGAACCAGUACCGUGAGGGAAAGGUGAAAAGGACCCGUAGUACGGGAGUGAAAGAGUACCUGAAACCAUACGCCUACAAGCGGUCGGAGCGCCUUUAUGGUGUGACGGCGUGCCUUUUGCAUAAUGAACCUACGAGUUGCCAUCUCUGGCAAGGUUAAGGAAGAUAGACUUCCCGAGCCGCAGCGAAAGCGAGUCUGAAAGGGGCGAAGUGAGUCAGAGGGGGCAGACGCGAAACCGAGUGAUCUACACAUGUCCAGGAUGAAGUCCCGGUAACACGGGAUGGAGGUCCGCACGGAUAAGCGUUGAAAAGCUUCCCGAUGAGGUGUGUGUAGGAGUGAAAGGCCAAUCAAACUCGGAGAUAGCUCGUACUCCCCGAAAGGCAUUUAGGUGCCGCCUGGGAUGUUUCUCUUGUGAGGUAGAGCGACUGAUUGGAUGCGAGGGCUUCACCGCCUAUCAAGUCCAGACAAACUCCGAAUGCGCAAGAGUUAAGUCCUGGAGUAAGGGCGCGGGUGCUAAGGUCCGUGCCCGAGAGGAGAAGAAUCCAGACCACCGGCUAAGGUCCCGAAAUGUAUGCUAAGUUAGACUAACGCAGUCCGGCCCCCAAGACAGCUAGGAUGUUGGCUUGGAAGCAGCCAUUCAUUCAAAGAGUGCGUAACAGCUCACUAGUCGAGGAGCUGGGCGUGGAUAAUAAUCGGGUAUAAAGCAUAUUGCCGAAGCCGUGGGAUGCAAUAGCAUCGGUAGGGGAGCAUUCCAGUCAGCGUCGAAGGCGUGGCGUGAGCCACUCUGGAGCGUCUGGAAAAGCAAAUGUAGGUAUAAGUAACGCUAAAGGGGGUGGGAUGCCCCCUCGCCGCAAGACCAAGGUUUCCCGGGCGACGUUAAUCGUCCCGGGGUCAGUCGGGUCCUAAGGAUAAGCCUAAUGGCGAGGCCGAUGGCAUAACGGUUAAUAUUCCGUUACUGCCGCAGCGCGCGAUGCGGAGACGGAGGCGUGACACAGCCGCCUGCUGACGGAAUAGCAGGUUAAAGGGUAUAGGUGUUGAGAGGGGCAGGCAAAUCCACCCCUUGAGCUGAAGCCUGAGAGUACGCGGAGGACUUCGGUCCGAAGUGACAGAGCUGGUAAUCAUACUCCCGAGAAAAUCCGCUAAGCAGCAACGCUGCGGCACCCGUACCGUAAACGGACACACGUGGUCGGGUUGAGUAUACUGAGGCGCUUGGGUGAUUCACGGUUAAGGAAUUAGGCAAAAUGACCCUGUAACUUCGGGAUAAAGGGUCCUCGUAUGAAAGCGAGGCGCAGAGAAUAGGUCCAGGCAACUGUUUAACAAAAACACAGGGCUGUGCGAAGUCGAAAGACGCGGUAUACAGUCUGACACCUGCCCGGUGCCGGAAGGUUAAGAGGAGGGCUUAUGCUUAGGCAGAAGGUCUGAAUUGAAGCCCCGGUAAACGGCGGCCGUAACUAUAACGGUCCUAAGGUAGCGAAAUUCCUUGUCGGGUAAGUUCCGACCUGCACGAAUGGUGUAAUGAUCCGGACACUGUCUCAACCGUGAGCCCAGUGAAAUUGUAGUAUCGGUGAAGAUGCCGAUUACCCGCGAUGGGACGAAAAGACCCCGUGAACCUUUACUAUAGCUUAGCGUUGGACUUGGGCAUUCGAUGUGUAGGAUAGGCCGGAGGCAAUGAAGCAUGUACGCCAGUAUGUGUGGAGCCGCUGUUGAAAUACGGCCCUUUGGCUGUCUGGGUCCUAACUUGCAGUAGCAAGGACCGCGCUUGGUGGGUAGUUUGACUGGGGUGGUCGCCUCCAAAAGCGUAACGGAGGCUCCUAAAGGUACCCUCACGCCGAUUGGUAACCGGCGUCAGAGUGUAAUGGCAAAAGGGUGCUUGACUGGGAGGCAGACAUGCCGCACAGGUGGGAAACCAGAGCAUAGUGAUCCGGCGGUUCCGUAUGGAAGGGCCGUCGCUCAAAGGAUAAAAGGUACUCCGGGGAUAACAGGCUGAUCCCUCCCAAGAGCUCAUAUCGACGGAGUGGUUUGGCACCUCGAUGUCGGCUCGUCACAUCCUGGGGCUGGAGAAGGUCCCAAGGGUUGGGCUGUUCGCCCAUUAAAGUGGCACGCGAGCUGGGUUCAGAACGUCGUGAGACAGUUCGGUCUCUAUCUAUCGUGGGCGCUGGAGAUUUGCGUGGCUCUGACACUAGUACGAGAGGACCGUGUUGGACAGACCUCUGGUUUACCGGUUGUUCCGCCAGGAGCACCGCCGGGUAUCUACGUCUGGAUCGGAUAAGCGCUGAAAGCAUCUAAGCACGAAGCCGGCCACAAGAUUAGAUCUCCUCAUGAGGGUCGUCCGAGACGAGGACGUUGAUAGGAGGCAGGUGUAAAGACGGUGACGUCAAAGCCGAGCCUUACUAAUUGCCCGAAGCUUUCGGG